UGGUCUUCGUUUCAUUGAAUCUAUCUGUAUUGCCUUUAACAUAUUUCUAUUGGGAAAUUAUGAAUGAUAAACAUGUAAAAUUGUAUUGCCUGAAAGCAAACAAACUAUUAUUUCUUAUAACUUUGACUAUCAUGCAACUUAUACUGGCUUUUGCAAAAGCUUUCUCGCAUUUUCCCGGGCUAUGUCUAUACGAUUUGUGUUGCUUUUUUAUGAAACAUUAUAUAUUUACCAACAAUCGAACCUACUAUAUGUGCUGGUGCACUUUGGUUUUCCUUUUUUUGUAUGUACAUGAUCACGUCCAGAGCUGUAACACGAGCCCCACCCUGAUUGAGCUUACAGUAGGUGAUGACACACUAGAAGGAUGGCAGGAUUGUGGUUCGAUGUUCGACAGUGUGAAUAGGGUUACUAUGGAGGUACGGAGUACGAUCAACUGUGACGUCAUCCAGAGGAUCCAUCUACCAGGAGCAACAGAACUGACCAUUCAAACACGUGUGGAUGUAUGGCGACCGGCUGGUUUCCACGAGGAGCCCACUUCACUACCCAAAGCCCUCCUGAUUAUCUCCCCUCAGCUUGUCAAGGUGACAUUCAGCGAUCUUGACAUUGGCAACAGUAAGAUGGAACUAAUCGUGCAAGCUUUCAGAUCACCUCACAACCUCAAACAUCUGAAGAUUAUCAGAUUCAUACAAUGCGGGUCAGAUGAGGGCGUGGAUGAUGUCAUAAUGGCUUGCAGUAAAGAUCAGGCCAUGGAGGUGGAGGUGGAGCAUGGCUAACCGCGUGGUGAUCGUUUUAUUAAGUAAUCAAAGAGAUGGCACCACACUCGAUCUGACGAAUCAGACGGAGCAAACAAUCUUUGCACGCAAACAGGAAAAAUGAGCUGAAAUGGAAAGUGCCUCAAACACAUCAUCAACCUUUUUCUUUGGCAAUUGUCAUGCAAUCGAUUUAUUCAUCCUCUGAAUCCCGUUGACAUUCAUAUGAUUUAGACGGAUGUGUAAUAUAUGCUCUACAUCGGUAUUGCAGCUCUUGUGAUUGUGAUUUUAAAUUCCCUUCAAAAUGUUACUCUCAGUGUUCUUGCAUUUAAUAUGAUUUACACGCUGAAAAUCUCAAACCUUGUAAAAGGGCCGAAAUGUUGUAAAAUAUCAUGAUUGAAAUUGUAUUAAAAGUAUGAUGGAAAAAUAUUCAUUAUUAGAAAAAUAAAUAAGUAAUAAUUCUUUUCGAAUUUGAAUUGUGCAACAAGCUGUGCUUUACUCACCACAUUUGCUAUGUAGAGAAUGUAUACGAUGCAGAAUUAGCCCAAAGUAUGCUUGCGUCAGCGACUGACGGAGGCAUUGACGCACCAUAAGAGAGUAAUAUCGCACCGUAAAGUUAAUGCAAAUCAAACAGUGCAAACCUCUCUUCGAAUUAAGGGUGUUAUAGUCCUAACUGAAUCACCUAGCUCGGUUAAAGCAAGGAAAUGAAACGCAACCUUGUGUGCAACAGGCAUUGAAAAAAUGAUGUCUGUGCCAUUAGAAUCAAUUGUAUUUCAUGAUUUUUUUUUAUUACGUUUUAUGUAAAAACAGUUAGGUCUCCUCAGAACCAAAAAGGAUGCUAUAAAUAAGAGACUAUGAACACGGCAAACAUGAGCAAACGAAAUUAGUUUGUAGAAAUAUAAUGAAAUGUUUAAAUACAGAAUAUAACAGUAAUGAAAAAUAAAAAAAUAAGAUGAAUAUAUAAAAAGAACAAAAAGUAUAGCACAAACUCACCAUAUAAACGAACCAACAAAAAGUCAAAACAAACAUGAUGAUCGUUACUUUUUACCCUUUUCUGAGCCAAGUAAUCAUAAUCUAUUAGUACCCCAUCUCUCUAACACACAAUAUCGGACAAGGUCAUGAAAUUUGGUAACUUGCCGGCCUAUUGUCUUUUUGCAUGAUUAUUUAAACACAAAAUAUAGAUCGGUUUUCUCCAAAUCGAAUGUAAACUUAGAAACUAUUUUAUCAUUAAUAUGUUUAUAUUGACGAUAAUUUCAGCACCAGGCCUAAUGUGAUUUCCUACAAGUGAAAUGGUUUUACGGUAAACACUUUGAAGUUGUAUCCACAGGUGGGAGAUGAAGGAAAUGUAUAGUCGUGUAUCACCCUUCCGAAAAGGCCAAAUGAAAACCACUUUUAAUUCACAAACAAAAUACUGUAUAUAUUUUAAUUUGAUUUUAUUAGUAAAUCGCAAUCAUAUACAUGAAAAUUUUGUUUCACAAUACAUAUAUAAAACAAAUAUAUAAACAACAAAAUCAAACAGUGGUAUAGUUUCUCGAGUAAUCGCAAAUUAACUAUAAACAUUGUAGCUUGUAUAUACAGUGGUAAAUAAUAUCAUUUUAUCCUAUAUAUGUUGUGUAUGAACUGUUGCAUGUAUCCCAUAGAAGGUUUGUUAUGAUUUAUGAUUUUUAUUUUGAAAAGGAAAACAAUCUUGUCUGAUAUAUUUUAGUUGGUAAUUUUGUCUGUUGAUAAUUUGUAAAUAACGUAGCCAAAUGAUAUGUGCCCCUACGAAGGAGUAUCUUUGCAAAGCAAAUUAUAAAUAACUGACUAACUAUAAAUUAUGGCUGUAUAAAUGCAUACUAAUUCUAAAUAUCCAAUCAGCUGUUUUCUACAAGUUCAACUAGUGAUUGUACACUAUUACAUGCAAUGCAAGAACAUUAUUAAGAGUAAAUCAUGUGGCAUUCAGUUUAAUAUAUUUGAUAUAUUUCUGUAUUUAUGUAACUAAUUGUUUAUUGUAUAGCGCACUGAGACAUUACCGCAUUUUGCGAAAAUAUUUCAACGCACAAUUUAUCACUAGUAAUAGUAAUAGUAGUAGUAGUAGUAGUUGAUUUUGUUGUUAUUGUUGUGGUUUUGUUGAUGAUGUUGUUGUUGUGGCGGUAUUACUAUGAUUAUUUGUAUUGAUUAACAUGAUAUAUCGAUAUCAAUUAUUCCAUUUGGUAUUAGCGAAAUAUUGUUGAAACGCCAAAUAUUGUUUACUGAAACUUGAGUAUUUUGUAUACAUUGAUUAGAUUAUAAAGAAUGGCGUACGUCGUUACUUUACAAUGUAGGUCUAUUUUGUUGCACGCAUGACCAACUAACUAUAUAUAUUAGAAACCAUUAUCUUGAAUUUAAACGUGAUGAAUUAUAUAAUGAUGGUUUAUAUUAUUAUUGUAUUGUAACAUUAAGUGAAAAGAAUGUUGCCAUGUCAAUUUGAACGUAAAUAAUAUAAUGUGCCUUAAAUUUGUCUACUUUAUAUAUCUAUCUUUUCGUUUAUUGCGUAUGUUCCAAUGUAUAUGUAGUUUGGUGUAUUUUAAUGAGAAUGGCUAUAUUUGUUGUUGUAAUUAGUUUUCGGAAAACAAUUAUUCUGCAUUACCAUGUACAGCGCAAAGGGAUUUGACCGGCAAUAUAAUGUGCUGUAUAAAUGUAUCCUUAUUGUUAUGUUGAUUAAUGAAACCUCUACUGAUCCGAGAAUUAUAUUAUUUUGAACUUUGUAUUAGGCAGACGUUCGUCCACAUUAUUGAAAUAAAAUUAAUUCUGUUUAAAAACUGUUUAAUUCAAUAAAUGUUACUCCAGUCUCUAAUUCAGAUAUAUAGGCCUAUAACCCCCUUCUCUAUAUAUAGCUAUCUCUCUUUCUCUCUCCUCAUUGUCGAGUUUUAACAAUCAGUUGGAUCAGCGCAAUUAACGUUCUUUUUUUUUAAUUUACGGAAUUUCCUUGCUUCUUUUUCCAUCAUCAUCAUAAAGGUGUCGUAGUCGAGUGGUUUCAUCACUUGACCGGAAAUGUAAACAUCUUGUGUUCGAUGCCCUGUACGACACUCAUAUCAAGGAGCAAGGCAUUUAAUCUACAUUACUCCUCCCCACCCAGGUGUUUUAAAAUAGGUACCCGGUGAGGAUGCGAUAGUCAAUGUGAUUGGAAUAGCAUACUAUGUACAUUCACGUGAACAGUCGUCGCGCCGACUCGUGUUAUAUGCUCUGUAGCUCGUGGAAUAUACCCCUGUAUCCCAUUGACUGUAGGCCACUGUCUUAUUCAUUAUCCCCAUCGAUCUUAAAUCGAUUGUUGUGGUAUGCCUACACGUAAUCUCUACAAAUUUUUGUUUGCAUUCCUGAUUAUUUUAGUUUUAAAACAAUUUUGCUCACCACUCUGUUGUUUGUUGUUAGUGGAUUUCUUUUCUUUAUAAGGUAGACUAACAUGAAUGUUGUUGGAUGCGAUCAGGUAAACGACUCAAGUCUGCAAAGUGUAGAUCAUACCGCUAUCUGAAAUCCUUCAUUCCCUUUUCCAUAAGGGCGUGUAACAGCUCACAUUGAAUAACGAUAAUAAUUGUAUAAACAUUUACAAUUGCAAUAUUAAAUUGCCCAUACGUAACCAAACCAUCACGUACGUAUACCCUGUCUACCUAUAUAAUAUUUAAAUAUCACAUUUCAUGAAUGAUGCUCAACAAUAUUUACUAUGUCAGUUUCUCUUUCUUUUCCUUCUUACUUUCCCCUUUCUUUCUUAUUACAUUAUCGUUUUUUAAUUGUCUUCUGUUGCACUUUCAUUUCAAUAUACGAAUGUGUUAACUAACUUGAUAGUGGAAAUUCAUAAUCUUGUUUAAUACCUUUUAUUUCAUGAUAUUCUCUCUUUCUUUUUACAGCCGUUCCUACUUCUCUGUUCUUUACCUCGCAUCAGCUCUCUUUCCCUUUCUCUCCCUAUCCUUCUCCUUCUUCUGACUCAUUUCCUUCUCUCUCACCUCGAUCUGCUGUUCUUCUUUCUCUAUCACACCUUUCCCCUUUACUCUUUCUUACUGCUCAUGCUAUGGGUUAUUGUACCUUUUAAUGUCUAAGAUGUCAACUUCUAUGUACAUGUAUCCCUUAUGUAUUCCGAUUGCUACUGUUUUUGUUGUUUACAUAUCUAUUUUUUUUUACUUGCAAACGAAUCCCAUGUAACAUUUCCAUGUUGUUACCUUGGAAAAAUGCAAAUUGAAUCAAAUUGAAUUGAAUGGACACUGCAUAUAUAUAAAAGUAGAAAUGUGAUGUAAUUAUCAAUGUGACAAUGUUAAAAUGGAUGAAGGAUUCGAUUUCUAGCAUUCGUUUUUGCAUUCGAUUUGUAUAUAAUAAUAUUUCUUUCAUAAUAUUUACCAAGUACAUGUAUUGCUAAUGAGAUAACUGUAUGAGUGUUCUCAAGAAUUCAUUGACUCAUAUUGUAAGAUAUUAUGUUUUGAGUUUUAAUGAUACUUCUGUUUUAUGUCUCAUUUUCUAUCGAUUAUGAGUGUAUAUGAUUCUUUGUACAGUUAUCAUAUCCGAAUAUGAUACUGUGAUAGUAAUUAGUAUGUUCCCUUCAAUUGUAUGCUGGGAGGGAUCAUGAAUGCAACUACCCUAUAUUUCUUUUAAAUGCUUUCAAGUCUCAAGGGUUGCUCGCAUCUAAUCUGGGCAAUGUUUUCACAAUCAUAGUAAAGAAUAUGCGUUGUGUCAAGAUUUGGUUUUACUUAUUAUGACAUAUUUUGACAGAAUGGGCAAUUUCCAUGUAUAUGAACAGUACAAUAAAAUCUUAAUCUGAAACAA
Molecule: long non-coding RNA, 5516 nt
Filed under: Strongylocentrotus purpuratus (purple sea urchin)
Lineage: Eukaryota; Metazoa; Echinodermata; Echinoidea; Camarodonta; Strongylocentrotidae
Description: uncharacterized LOC115928207
Source: RNAcentral